CACUGGGUCCCUGGUGGCGGAAGCCGUUGAACCGUGUCAGGUCCGGAAGGAAGCAGCACUAAGACGUCUCUUCCGGGUACCCAGGACAACCUGGUCGGU
Molecule: signal recognition particle RNA, 99 nt
Filed under: Anaerolineae bacterium
Lineage: Bacteria; Bacillati; Chloroflexota; Anaerolineae
Also listed under: 1 other name
Description: signal recognition particle sRNA small type
Rfam family: Bacterial small signal recognition particle RNA
About the family: The signal recognition particle (SRP) is a universally conserved ribonucleoprotein involved in the co-translational targeting of proteins to membranes.
Source: RNAcentral